This 100-nucleotide ribosomal RNA is filed under the name Galeus nipponensis (broadfin sawtail catshark). RNAcentral's name for it is "partial 16S rRNA". The record is from RNAcentral. Lineage: Eukaryota; Metazoa; Chordata; Chondrichthyes; Carcharhiniformes; Scyliorhinidae.
ACCUUAAAGCUAGCCUACUCACCAAUUUAACUAGACCUUAUUAAUCUAAUUUACACUAAAUCCUCUACUUAAAACAUUUUAACCUUUUAGUAUGGGCGAC